Molecule: transfer RNA, 78 nt
Filed under: Chloroflexota bacterium
Lineage: Bacteria; Bacillati; Chloroflexota
Description: Chloroflexi bacterium tRNA-Pro
Rfam family: tRNA
About the family: Transfer RNA (tRNA) molecules are approximately 80 nucleotides in length. Their secondary structure includes four short double-helical elements and three loops (D, anti-codon, and T loops).
Source: RNAcentral
CGGGGUGUAGAUCAGCUUGGAGUGAUCAUCUGACUGGGGGUCAGAAGGCCGUGGGUUCGAGUCCCACCACCCCGACAA